CUGCUUUGGCAGCGCAUAUACUAAAAAUUGGAACGAUACAGAGAACAUUAGCAUGGCCCCUGCACAAGGAUGACACCCAUAGUUUUAAGUAAAAUUCAGUGGACAU
RNAcentral lists this small nuclear RNA (106 nucleotides) under Propithecus coquereli (Coquerel's sifaka). Lineage: Eukaryota; Metazoa; Chordata; Mammalia; Primates; Indriidae. The record is from RNAcentral.